GGUUAAGCGACUAAGCGUACACGGUGGAUGCCCUGGCAGUCAGAGGCGAUGAAGGACGUGCUAAUCUGCGAUAAGCGUCGGUAAGGUGAUAUGAACCGUUAUAACCGGCGAUUUCCGAAUGGGGAAACCCAGUGUGAUUCGUCACACUAUCAUUAACUGAAUCCAUAGGUUAAUGAGGCGAACCGGGGGAACUGAAACAUCUAAGUACCCCGAGGAAAAGAAAUCAACCGAGAUUCCCCCAGUAGCGGCGAGCGAACGGGGAGGAGCCCAGAGCCUGAAUCAGUGUGUGUGUUAGUGGAAGCGUCUGGAAAGGCGCGCGAUACAGGGUGACAGCCCCGUACACAAAAAUGCACAUACUGUGAGCUCGAUGAGUAGGGCGGGACACGUGGUAUCCUGUCUGAAUAUGGGGGGACCAUCCUCCAAGGCUAAAUACUCCUGACUGACCGAUAGUGAACCAGUACCGUGAGGGAAAGGCGAAAAGAACCCCGGCGAGGGGAGUGAAAAAGAACCUGAAACCGUGUACGUACAAGCAGUGGGAGCACGCUUCGGCGUGUGACUGCGUACCUUUUGUAUAAUGGGUCAGCGACUUAUAUUCUGUAGCAAGGUUAACCGAAUAGGGGAGCCGAAGGGAAACCGAGUCUUAACUGGGCGUUAAGUUGCAGGGUAUAGACCCGAAACCCGGUGAUCUAGCCAUGGGCAGGUUGAAGGUUGGGUAACACUAACUGGAGGACCGAACCGACUAAUGUUGAAAAAUUAGCGGAUGACUUGUGGCUGGGGGUGAAAGGCCAAUCAAACCGGGAGAUAGCUGGUUCUCCCCGAAAGCUAUUUAGGUAGCGCCUCGUGAAUUCAUCUCCGGGGGUAGAGCACUGUUUCGGCAAGGGGGUCAUCCCGACUUACCAACCCGAUGCAAACUGCGAAUACCGGAGAAUGUUAUCACGGGAGACACACGGCGGGUGCUAACGUCCGUCGUGAAGAGGGAAACAACCCAGACCGCCAGCUAAGGUCCCAAAGUCAUGGUUAAGUGGGAAACGAUGUGGGAAGGCCCAGACAGCCAGGAUGUUGGCUUAGAAGCAGCCAUCAUUUAAAGAAAGCGUAAUAGCUCACUGGUCGAGUCGGCCUGCGCGGAAGAUGUAACGGGGCUAAACCAUG
Molecule: ribosomal RNA, 1149 nt
Filed under: Escherichia coli
Lineage: Bacteria; Pseudomonadati; Pseudomonadota; Gammaproteobacteria; Enterobacterales; Enterobacteriaceae
Description: partial 23S ribosomal RNA
Rfam family: Bacterial large subunit ribosomal RNA
Source: RNAcentral